This 66-nucleotide ribosomal RNA is filed under the name Listeria monocytogenes. RNAcentral describes it as "partial 23S ribosomal RNA". Lineage: Bacteria; Bacillati; Bacillota; Bacilli; Caryophanales; Listeriaceae. The record is from RNAcentral.
GUGUGGAGUGGAAGUGUAGCGAUACAUGGAGCGGACAAAUACUAAUCGAUCGAGGACUUAACCAAA